Non-coding RNA from Pelobates cultripes (western spadefoot toad), 230 nucleotides. Lineage: Eukaryota; Metazoa; Chordata; Amphibia; Anura; Pelobatidae. The record is from the annotation of a GenBank genome assembly.
CAAACGGGUGCCCGCUACAACCUGCCCGACACCUGGGAGCUCCUGCACUAAGCUAGACCUGGUAGUGCUUGGAGGUAUGAAUUGGCUGAAAGCACUUACAAAAGCAUUCAUGUUUGGCUACUGACCAUGGACCAUAAAAGAGCACAAGGUACUCUAAACACUACAACGAGCUGUAACGGUUAGGGUGCUUGGAUUGUUCCAUCAAAAAUUGAAAGUCAGCUCCAGCCUGA